Molecule: unclassified non-coding RNA, 215 nt
Filed under: Hevea brasiliensis (rubber tree)
Lineage: Eukaryota; Viridiplantae; Streptophyta; Magnoliopsida; Malpighiales; Euphorbiaceae
Source: RNAcentral
GUCACAGAUCUGCAUAGAGUCAGAGUCACCUCUCAUCUGCAGUGCAUCAGUGGUAGGACCUUUAGGUCCCUUUUGAAAUUUUGUUUUUACAUUUUGUAAUGGGUAAUAGUUUGUGAUUUAUAAAUUAUAAACUCGUGUAAAUCGUAAAUUGAUAUAAUCAUAUGUUGAUGCACAUAUUUUGUAAAAUUUAAUUAAUUAAUAUAAUUUGAGAAUAU